RNAcentral lists this transfer RNA (73 nucleotides) under Planctomycetota bacterium. RNAcentral's name for it is "tRNA-Lys". It matches the Rfam family "tRNA". From Rfam's summary of the family: Transfer RNA (tRNA) molecules are approximately 80 nucleotides in length. The record is from RNAcentral. Lineage: Bacteria; Pseudomonadati; Planctomycetota.
GGGCGAUUAGCUCAGUUGGUAGAGCAGCUGACUCUUAAUCAGCGGGUCACAGGUUCGAGCCCUGUAUCGCUCA